This 482-nucleotide ribosomal RNA is filed under the name uncultured bacterium. RNAcentral describes it as "partial 16S ribosomal RNA". It matches the Rfam family "Bacterial small subunit ribosomal RNA", at positions 30 to 507 of the family's 1533-position model. The record is from RNAcentral.
AUUGAACGCUGGCGGCAUGCCUUACACAUGCAAGUCGAACGGUAACAGGUCUUCGGAUGCUGACGAGUGGCGAACGGGUGCGUAAUACAUCGGAACGUGCCCGAUCGUGGGGGAUAACGGAGCGAAAGCUUUGCUAAUACCGCAUACGAUCUACGGAUGACAGCAGGGGACCGCAAGGCCUUGCGCGGACGGAGCGGCCGAUGGCAGAUUAGGUAGUUGGUGGGAUAAAAGCUUACCAAGCCGACGAUCUGUAGCUGGUCUGAGAGGACGACCAGCCACACUGGGACUGAGACACGGCCCAGACUCCUACGGGAGGCAGCAGUGGGGAAUUUUGGACAAUGGGCGAAAGCCUGAUCCAGCCAUGCCGCGUGCAGGAUGAAGGCCUUCGGGUUGUAAACUGCUUUUGUACGGAACGAAAAGACUCUUUCUAAUAAAGAGGGUCCAUGACGGUACCGUAAGAAUAAGCACCGGCUAACUACGUG